CACGUAGGGCGCAAGCGUUGUCCGGAAUUAUUGGGCGUAAAGAGCUCGUAGGCGGUCUGUUGCGUCCGCUGUGAAAACUCGGGGCUUAACCCCGAGCCUGCAGUGGAUACGGGCAGACUAGAGGUAGGUAGGGGAGAAUGGAAUUCCCGGUGUAGCGGUGAAAUGCGUAGAGAUCGUAAGGAAGACCAGUGGCGAAGGCGGGUCUCUGGACAGUUCCUGACACUGAGGCACGAAGGCCAGGGGAGCAAACGGG
This 253-nucleotide ribosomal RNA is filed under the name uncultured bacterium. RNAcentral's name for it is "partial 16S ribosomal RNA". It matches the Rfam family "Bacterial small subunit ribosomal RNA", at positions 524 to 776 of the family's 1533-position model. The record is from RNAcentral.